UACGGAGGAUUCAAGCGUUAUCCGGAUUUAUUGGGUUUAAAGGGUGCGUAGGCGGUCGGAUAAGUUAGAGGUGAAAUCCCGAGGCUCAACUUCGGAAUUGCCUCUGAUACUGUUCGGCUAGAGAGUAGUUGCGGUAGGCGGAAUGUAUGGUGUAGCGGUGAAAUGCUUAGAGAUCAUACAGAACACCGAUUGCGAAGGCAGCUUACCAAGCUACUUCUGACGUUGAGGCCCGAAGGCGUGGGGAGCAAACAGG
RNAcentral lists this ribosomal RNA (253 nucleotides) under uncultured bacterium. RNAcentral describes it as "partial 16S ribosomal RNA". It matches the Rfam family "Bacterial small subunit ribosomal RNA", at positions 524 to 776 of the family's 1533-position model. The record is from RNAcentral.